UACGAAGGGGGCUAGCGUUGCUCGGAAUCACUGGGCGUAAAGGGUGCGUAGGCGGGUCUUUAAGUCAGAGGUGAAAUCCUGGAGCUCAACUCCAGAACUGCCUUUGAUACUGAGGAUCUUGAGUACGGGAGAGGUGAGUGGAACUGCGAGUGUAGAGGUGAAAUUCGUAGAUAUUCGCAAGAACACCCGUGGCGAAGGCGGCUCUCUGGGACGGUACUGACGCUGAGACGCGAAAGCGUGGGGAGCGAACAGG
This 253-nucleotide ribosomal RNA is filed under the name uncultured bacterium. RNAcentral describes it as "partial 16S ribosomal RNA". It matches the Rfam family "Bacterial small subunit ribosomal RNA", at positions 524 to 776 of the family's 1533-position model. The record is from RNAcentral.